GCGGGUGUAGCUCAGCUGGUUAGAGCAUUAGUUUUCCAAACUAAGGGCCACGGGUUCGAAUCCCGUCUCCCGCUCCA
RNAcentral lists this transfer RNA (77 nucleotides) under Pseudomonadota bacterium. RNAcentral's name for it is "Proteobacteria bacterium tRNA-Gly". It matches the Rfam family "tRNA". From Rfam's summary of the family: Transfer RNA (tRNA) molecules are approximately 80 nucleotides in length. Their secondary structure includes four short double-helical elements and three loops (D, anti-codon, and T loops). Further hydrogen bonds mediate the characteristic L-shaped molecular structure. tRNAs have two regions of fundamental functional importance: the anti-codon, which is responsible for specific mRNA codon recognition, and the 3' end, to which the tRNAs corresponding amino acid is attached (by aminoacyl-tRNA synthetases). tRNAs cope with the degeneracy of the genetic code in two manners: having more than one tRNA (with a specific anti-codon) for a particular amino acid; and 'wobble' base-pairing, i.e. permitting non-standard base-pairing at the 3rd anti-codon position. The record is from RNAcentral. Lineage: Bacteria; Pseudomonadati; Pseudomonadota.